UACAACCGAGCACUUUUCCCCCUUCUCCUAUUCAAAUCACCAUGGUAACCGGGUAGGGGUGUUUAGUAUGUCUUCCCAUCAAUGGGGCGAGCUGCCCUCCCUACGCGAGGGCAUUCAGUUUUAACCCGCGAGAAACGCAGCAGUAUCAGAAUAGGAACCCACAGGCGACACGAGAAUUCAAUGCAUGGAAGAAGACAAAAAUAUAAGUAUUUCAAGUCAUCAAAGUUGGUUUUCAAUCGAGAGCUAUUAAAUGGACCUGGAUUGCACAAAUCCCCAUAACCCAGGAUGGGGUCCUUAUAGACUAGACCUAGGCCUACAUGUGGCGGCGGAAUGUUCGGUAUUCCGUUGAAUCAAAUUACAUGGCAGGGCUGCAGAGAAGAGGUGCACUAUAAACUCCAGUCCACGAGGGCAGCAGGAUUGUCCCAGAUCCCAUGCUCCAUCCAACCUUUUCUUUCACUCUCUCUCACUUUCCAGGUCCUGUCUUCCCUGGUUUGGUCUUUCACUGUCUGCACUCCCUCCCUCUCCCUCUCUGUUUCUGUCUCCAAUAUGCACAGUGGCUAGGUUACUCUAGCUGCAGGCUAUUUUCUUUGGUAGACUUUAGAAAUAUGCAAAUGCAGCCGUUGACAACUGCAGAGAGAAGAAAAGCGAAACAACUCUGCAUCUGUGUUCCUUGAGCUGUCAGCUCUCAGAGACAUAUCAUUUACUCGUCCCUUUCUAUCCCUCUAUCAAAGUAGUGGUGUAAGACUUACCGAUAGAAGAAGAAAGAAGAAGAAGAGAGAGAGAGAGAGAGAGAGAGAGAGAGAGAGAGAGAGAGAGGGAAGUGUGAGAGGGAGAGAAAAGAUCAGGCUCAAAGUAUAGAAGGAAAUUAUAUGUCAAACGUCCUCUAUUGCUCAGUUGGUUAUUUCUACUCUCCCUCCUUCCUUCUCCCCUCCUUUCCU
Molecule: long non-coding RNA, 938 nt
Organism: Oncorhynchus tshawytscha (Chinook salmon)
Lineage: Eukaryota; Metazoa; Chordata; Actinopteri; Salmoniformes; Salmonidae
Source: Ensembl